Molecule: ribosomal RNA, 440 nt
Filed under: uncultured bacterium
Lineage: Bacteria
Description: partial 16S ribosomal RNA
Rfam family: Bacterial small subunit ribosomal RNA
Source: RNAcentral
CCUACGGGUGGCUGCAGUGGGGAAUAUUGCACAAUGGGGGAAACCCUGAUGCAGCGACGCCGCGUGAGUGAAGAAGUAUCUCGGUACGUAAAGCUCUAUCAGCAGGGAAGAAAAUGACGGUACCUGACUAAGAAGCCCCGGCUAACUAAGUGCCAGCAGCCGCGGUAAUACGUAGGGGGCAAGCUUUAUCCGGAUUUACUGGGGGUAAAGGGAGCGUAGACGGCCGCACAAGUCUGGAGUGAAAUCCCGGGGCUUAACCCCGGAACUGCGUUGGAAACUGUGCGGCUGGAGUGCAGGAGGGGUAAGCGGAAUUCCUAGUGUAGCGGUGAAAUGCAUAGAUAUUAGGAGGAACACCGGUGGCGAAGGCGGCUUACUGGACUGUAACUGACGUUGAGGCUCGAAAGCGUGGGGAGCAAACAGGAUUAGAUACCCGAGUAGUC